GACCCGGAAGGGCACAGGAAGGACAGGAGGGGUCCAGGUCCUAACCUCCUCUCCCCUUGCCACGCAUCCCACCCUCCAAACACCUAAACAGGAGCUGCUGGUCCUGCACUGGAAGCACCUGACCACUGUGUACCGUUGCCUCAUCCAGUGUCUUCCGUCACAAUGAGGAUUGUAUUUCUCCAUCCCAUCACUCUAAGUUCAGCCAUAUGACUUGCUUUGGCCAAGAGGAUGUCAGAAGAUAUGACAUAAGAAGAGGCUUACAAAACCACUUGCCAGCUUGUUCCGCUCUGCUUUCGCUAUGAAAAAGAAAAAUGAAGAUCCUGAGAUUAGAGACACCAACCAAUCCUUCUGGUUUGCCCAGUCCUUCUAAGUUUUAGCACUGAAUGCCCUGGGUCCCGUGCACACUCUCAGCGUUGGAGAAACAAAUCGUUCCAGGAUGUUCAGCAGCAGCCCUGCUCUCUGCGACGCCUGUAGUAUGCCCACACCAACAGUCACGACAACCCAGAGUGUGCCCAGACAUUGGCGUGUUGCUCCCAGACAGGGACAAUGGUGUAGACAGCCCAGGUGAAGUGUAUCUGGAGUCUGUCAUUUCGUGAUUCAAGGUAAGGAUCUGGUUUUAUUUGUUUCCAUGUAACGAGCCCAUCCCCUCCUCCACCUGCUAAACAAUCCAAGCUUUUCUCAUUAUCAUUGUGA
Molecule: long non-coding RNA, 693 nt
Organism: Leopardus geoffroyi (Geoffroy's cat)
Lineage: Eukaryota; Metazoa; Chordata; Mammalia; Carnivora; Felidae
Exons: 5
Source: RefSeq, a predicted model, not a curated record